ACUGUGUGCCAUAUACAACACAACAAUUUUGUCUCACUAACCGAAUACUCAUUCUAUUGCUAUGAUUAGGUAACAAAGUUUGCGAGGAUGCAAUACCGACUUCCUUCUAUCAUAAAACAAAGAUUACUACUUUUUAAUAAAAUUACUUCACGUAGGAGGCCAUGAAAUAUCAGAAUUGUAUGUAAUCGGUAUUGCAAAUCUCUAGUAUUGUCAUGUAUAAAACUGUGAUGUUCUCUAUGAUAAAUAUACCUUUUAAUUGCAAAAAUAAACCAUGCUAAAAAAUAUAAUGUAAAUAUACUACUGCGUUAUUUUAGUAUCCUGUACCAUAUGUUAGCUUGUGACUUAAAUCACCCUUCCUUGUACACCUGUUACCAAGAAAUUGUGUACAUGCAAAAAAAGAAACUCCAAAGGAGCGUUGCGUAACAUUAUACAGAACACAAAUAUCGAAAAGAAGGAUAAUGGACAAACAAGUAUUAAAAAGUGGCUUUUUAAACAGUAUGCUCCGUUUUCUAUCCUCUUAAUCAUCUUUGCUAUAACUCGAUUUGUUCAAAUGCCGUAAUGUUGCAAAUAAUUGAAACUCGUUGCAUCGAGCAUACAUACAAUAUUUACACUGUCAUCCAUGCUACUAGAUAAACAUUACAAACCAUGCAUAUACAAUACUAAAGAACAGCGUAUAAAAUUAAUAAAAUAGUUCUUACUAUCAGCAACAAUUAUUAUUUGGCUACAUCAUUCUGCCUCCCCGACUGCUUGCAAAGGAAACAAAAAAAAGAAAGGUGGAUUAAACACAGGAGAAAGAAACCUAGUUAGGAAUUGAUACCGUUUCCCAUUGAAUAAUUCAAAUAACAAAAAACAUAUAUAAUUUUUGAAUAAGUAUAUUGUACAUACAAAAAUAAGAAUUAAUUUAAAAGACGAGAAAACUGGUAUUUUUGGAUAAACAGACAACGCACAAAACUAAGGAAAAUGUAGAGUACAUACAAAUUGUUAUUACGAAUAUAACUGUAAAGGAGAGAAAAUAACAUUUUAACAUUACAGUUCCAGAUACAGGUUUAAAGUACAACAAAGCUGCAUACCAGCAUACUGCAGCCAUGACAAAAAGAUAA
Molecule: long non-coding RNA, 1100 nt
Organism: Bombus impatiens (common eastern bumble bee)
Lineage: Eukaryota; Metazoa; Arthropoda; Insecta; Hymenoptera; Apidae
Exons: 2
Source: RefSeq, a predicted model, not a curated record